RNAcentral lists this transfer RNA (87 nucleotides) under Sphingorhabdus sp. SMR4y. It matches the Rfam family "tRNA". Rfam says of the family: Transfer RNA (tRNA) molecules are approximately 80 nucleotides in length. The record is from Rfam by way of RNAcentral. Lineage: Bacteria; Pseudomonadati; Pseudomonadota; Alphaproteobacteria; Sphingomonadales; Sphingorhabdaceae.
GGUGCGUUGGCUGAGUGGUCGAAAGCGCCGCACUCGAAAUGCGGUAUGCCAGCAAUGGUAUCUAGGGUUCGAAUCCCUAACGCACCU